CGAGGUGGCGGACGGGUGAGUAUGCAUCGGAACGUGUCCUGAAGUAGGGGGAGUAACGCAUCGAAAGAUGUGCUAAUACCGCAUAUUCUCUGAGGAGGAAAGUAGGGGAUCGAAAGACCUUAUGCUUUUGGAGCGGCCGAUGUCUGAUUAGCUAGUUGGUAGGGUAAUGGCUUACCAAGGCGACGAUCAGUAGUUGGUCUGAGAGGACGACCAGCCACACUGGGACUGAGACACGGCCCAGACUCCUACGGGAGGCAGCAGUGGGGAAUUUUGGACAAUGGGCGCAAGCCUGAUCCAGCAAUGCCGCGUGAGUGAAGAAGGCCUUCGGGUUGUAAAGCUCUUUCAGUUGAGAAGAAAAAGUCGUGACUAAUAAUCAUGAUUCAUGACGGUAUCAACAGAAGAAGCACCGGCUAACUACGUGCCAGCAGCCGCGGUAAUACGUAGGGUGCAAGCGUUAAUCGGAAUUACUGGGCG
This 474-nucleotide ribosomal RNA is filed under the name uncultured bacterium. RNAcentral's name for it is "bacterial SSU rRNA". It matches the Rfam family "Bacterial small subunit ribosomal RNA", at positions 91 to 560 of the family's 1533-position model. The record is from RNAcentral.